RNAcentral lists this ribosomal RNA (470 nucleotides) under Streptococcus mitis. RNAcentral describes it as "bacterial SSU rRNA". It matches the Rfam family "Bacterial small subunit ribosomal RNA", at positions 28 to 480 of the family's 1533-position model. Lineage: Bacteria; Bacillati; Bacillota; Bacilli; Lactobacillales; Streptococcaceae. The record is from RNAcentral.
GACGAACGCUGGCGGCGUGCCUAAUACAUGCAAGUAGAACGCUGAAGAGAGGAGCUUGCUCUUCUUGGAUGAGUUGCGAACGGGUGAGUAACGCGUAGGUAACCUGCCUGGUAGUGGGGGAUAACUAUUGGAAACGAUAGCUAAUACCGCAUAAUAGCAGUUAUUGCAUGAUAACUGUUUGAAAGGUGCAAAUGCAUCACUACCAGAUGGACCUGCGUUGUAUUAGCUAGUUGGUGAGGUAACGGCUCACCAAGGCGACGAUACAUAGCCGACCUGAGAGGGUGAUCGGCCACACUGGGACUGAGACACGGCCCAGACUCCUACGGGAGGCAGCAGUAGGGAAUCUUCGGCAAUGGACGGAAGUCUGACCGAGCAACGCCGCGUGAGUGAAGAAGGUUUUCGGAUCGUAAAGCUCUGUUGUAAGAGAAGAACGAGUGUGAGAGUGGAAAGUUCACACUGUGACGGUAUCU